GGCUUGUUCAGUAGACAAGAAUGACUUGCCUACAUUCGUCCCUAAGAUGUUUGGUCCCAUCAGCCACAAAAAAAAGUUCAGAGAAUACAUAUAUUUUCGUUAGUUUUGCAGGCAGUCAACUUGGCUAACUCGACAGGCUCU
RNAcentral lists this microRNA precursor (141 nucleotides) under Olea europaea subsp. europaea. Lineage: Eukaryota; Viridiplantae; Streptophyta; Magnoliopsida; Lamiales; Oleaceae. The record is from RNAcentral.